GCUGGCGGUAUGCUUAAUACAUGCAAGUCGAACGGUAACAGCAGAGCUUGCUCUGGCUGACGAGUGGCGGACGGGUGAGUAACGCUUGGGAAUCUGCCUAGUAGUGGGGGACAACACGGGGAAACUCGUGCUAAUACCGCAUACGUCCUACGGGAGAAAGUGGGGGAUCUUCGGACCUCACGCUAUUAGAUGAGCCCAAGUCGGAUUAGCUUGUUGGUGAGGUAACGGCUCACCAAGGCGACGAUCCGUAGCUGGUUUGAGAGGAUGACC
RNAcentral lists this ribosomal RNA (270 nucleotides) under uncultured bacterium. Its description in RNAcentral is "partial 16S ribosomal RNA". It matches the Rfam family "Bacterial small subunit ribosomal RNA", at positions 35 to 305 of the family's 1533-position model. The record is from RNAcentral.